Molecule: ribosomal RNA, 796 nt
Filed under: Jatrophihabitans sp.
Lineage: Bacteria; Bacillati; Actinomycetota; Actinomycetes; Jatrophihabitantales; Jatrophihabitantaceae
Description: bacterial SSU rRNA
Rfam family: Bacterial small subunit ribosomal RNA
Source: RNAcentral
UGCAAGUCGAGCGAGGCCUGCUCCUUCGGGAGCGGUGUCCUAGCGGCGAACGGGUGAGUAACACGUGGGCAAUCUGCCCCUAGCACUGGGAUAACCCCGGGAAACCGGGGCUAAUACCGGAUACGACUCCAGUCGGCAUCUUCUGGAGUGGAAAAGGUUUACUGGCUAGGGAUGAGCCCGCGGCCUAUCAGCUUGUUGGUGGGGUAAUGGCCUACCAAGGCGACGACGGGUAGCCGGCCUGAGAGGGCGACCGGCCACACUGGGACUGAGACACGGCCCAGACUCCUACGGGAGGCAGCAGUGGGGAAUAUUGCACAAUGGGCGAAAGCCUGAUGCAGCGACGCCGCGUGAGGGAUGACGGCCUUCGGGUUGUAAACCUCUUUCAGCUCCGACGAAGCGAAAGUGACGGUAGGAGCAGAAGAAGCACCGGCCAACUACGUGCCAGCAGCCGCGGUAAUACGUAGGGUGCAAGCGUUGUCCGGAAUUAUUGGGCGUAAAGAGCUCGUAGGCGGCUUGUCGCGUCGGCUGUGAAAACCUGGGGCUCAACUCCGGGCCUGCAGCCGAUACGGGCAAGCUAGAAUUCGGUAGGGGAGACUGGAAUUCCUGGUGUAGCGGUGAAAUGCGCAGAUAUCAGGAGGAACACCGGUGGCGAAGGCGGGUCUCUGGGCCGAUAUUGACGCUGAGGAGCGAAAGCGUGGGGAGCGAACAGGAUUAGAUACCCUGGUAGUCCACGCCGUAAACGUUGGGCGCUAGGUGUGGGCCACAUUCCACGUGGUCUGUGCCGCAGCUAACGCAU